RNAcentral lists this transfer RNA (70 nucleotides) under Mus musculus (house mouse). Its description in RNAcentral is "tRNA-Ser". The record is from RNAcentral. Lineage: Eukaryota; Metazoa; Chordata; Mammalia; Rodentia; Muridae.
GGUGAGGUGGCUCAGUGGUUAAGAGCACUGACUGCUCUUCCAGAGGUCUUGAUUCAAUUCUCAGCAACCA